GAGCGCGAGAAGGGGACGGUGAAAAAACGUAAAAGGCGUUUUUUGGUGACUCACUGAUGCCUAAAAAUGUAACUAGCCGUCAGCCUCUCAGUGUAGGGGCUGCUGUGCUGGGUUGAAACUGCCAUGCUUGCAGUUGUCCUUCCAGUUAAUAUGCUCACUAAGUGCCAAGAUAUUGAUCUGGGCAGUGGCAUCCAAUCCAUGAUGAUCCCAGUUCAGAAGAGGAAAAUCAAAUUCAGCCUCAGCAACGCAGCACAGUAUUUCUUGGAAGGACUGUCAAUGCCAAGUGCCAAUGGAUUUAUCUUCUUGGGCAGUAAAAACCCUUUUCCUGACACAGGACAAAAGGAUAAUUUUGCCUUUUGCAUGAAGGUUAAAGUUAACAGACUUUAACAGCUGGUGGAAGAAUUUGCCUUUGCUUCCGUUUUUCAUGGAAAAGUCCAGCAGGAUGUCAGGCAGAUGGGGGCAGCAGCACCUCGAACACUCAGCGUUACACCAGGCAAGCAAGAGCUACAGUCAGGGCAAACUUCUGUGUUCCAUCAACACAGAGCUUUUGUGUAGACUUCCAUAAACCAGCUUAAAACUACAGUGAUCUCUUUGCCCUUUCAACGAAUCCCUGUUUUUAUUAAUUACGUUAUUAAUCAUAAACUCACUUUACUGUUUGA
Lonchura striata (white-rumped munia) is the source of this 659-nucleotide long non-coding RNA. RefSeq lists it as uncharacterized. The record is from RefSeq and is a predicted model, not a curated record. NCBI's taxonomy places the organism in Eukaryota, Metazoa, Chordata, Aves, Passeriformes, Estrildidae.